AUUUGUUUUUUAAUACGUGUGUGAAAACCUUAAACUUACAUUUAUUCGUGUAUAUUUGGCAUGUGUGACCAUGUAUUCUUCUAUAUUUCGUGUAUACUAAACGGAAGGAGUACAACUAUAUCAGUUACGUUUAAAAGUGUGUGA
This 144-nucleotide small RNA is filed under the name Arabidopsis thaliana (thale cress). RNAcentral describes it as "ATSL081540". The record is from RNAcentral. Lineage: Eukaryota; Viridiplantae; Streptophyta; Magnoliopsida; Brassicales; Brassicaceae.